AUUGAACGCUGGCGGCAUGCUUUACACAUGCAAGUCGAACGGUAACAGGUUAAGCUGACGAGUGGCGAACGGGUGAGUAAUGCAUCGGAACGUGCCCGGUCGUGGGGGAUAACGCAGCGAAAGCUGCGCUAAUACCGCAUACGAUCUAAGGAUGAAAGCGGGGGACCGUAAGGCCUCGCGCGAUCGGAGCGGCCGAUGUCAGAUUAGGUAGUUGGGGGGGUAAAGGCACACCAAGCCAACGAUCUGUAGCUGGUCGGAGAGGACGACCAGCCACACUGGGACUGAGACACGGCCCAGACUCCUACGGGAGGCAGCAGUGGGGAAUUUUGGACAAUGGGCGAAAGCCUGAUCCAGCAAUGCCGCGUGCAGGAAGAAGGCCUUCGGGUUGUAAACUGCUUUUGUACGGAGCGAAAAGGUCUCCUCUAAUACAGGGGGCUCAUGACGGUACCGUAAGAAUAAGCACCGGCUAACUACGUGCCAGCCGCCGCAGUAA
RNAcentral lists this ribosomal RNA (493 nucleotides) under uncultured bacterium. RNAcentral describes it as "partial 16S ribosomal RNA". It matches the Rfam family "Bacterial small subunit ribosomal RNA", at positions 29 to 523 of the family's 1533-position model. The record is from RNAcentral.